UCAAACUUGGUCAUUUAGAGGAAGUAAAAGUCGUAACAAGGUUUCCGUAGGUGAACCUGCGGAAGGAUCAUUACUGAUUCAUGAGGAAAAGCAGAUGUGCUGACAAGGGGCCUCCUUUGCAUUGUGCACUCUCUUUACCUCCUAAAUUGACCCCUGUGCACCUCCUGUAGACGAGGAAAUUUUAUUUCCAUGUCUAUGUUUUUAUGCAACCCUGCAUAUAAUGUAUUAAAGUUGGAUUAUCAUGAUAAAUAAAGUACAACUUUCAACAAUGGAUCUCUUGGCUCUCGCAUCGAUGAAGAACGCAGC
RNAcentral lists this unclassified non-coding RNA (306 nucleotides) under uncultured fungus. RNAcentral describes it as "partial contains small subunit ribosomal RNA, internal transcribed spacer 1, and 5.8S ribosomal RNA". The stretch from base 1 to 73 matches the Rfam family "Eukaryotic small subunit ribosomal RNA", at positions 1759 to 1831 of the family's 1831-position model. Lineage: Eukaryota; Fungi. The record is from RNAcentral.